RNAcentral lists this transfer RNA (72 nucleotides) under Camelus bactrianus (Bactrian camel). It matches the Rfam family "tRNA". From Rfam's summary of the family: Transfer RNA (tRNA) molecules are approximately 80 nucleotides in length. Their secondary structure includes four short double-helical elements and three loops (D, anti-codon, and T loops). RNAcentral also lists the same sequence under 1 other name. Lineage: Eukaryota; Metazoa; Chordata; Mammalia; Artiodactyla; Camelidae. The record is from Rfam by way of RNAcentral.
GAGGGUACAGCUCAGUGGCAGAGCACGUGCUUAGCAUGCAUGAGGUCCCGGGAUCAGUCCCCGGUGCCUCCG